Molecule: ribosomal RNA, 253 nt
Filed under: uncultured bacterium
Lineage: Bacteria
Description: partial 16S ribosomal RNA
Rfam family: Bacterial small subunit ribosomal RNA
Source: RNAcentral
UACAGAGGUCCCAAGCGUUGUUCGGAUUCACUGGGCGUAAAGGGCUCGUAGGUGGCCAACUAAGUCAGACGUGAAAUCCCUCAGCUUAACUGGGGAACUGCGUCUGAUACUGGAUGGCUUGAGUUUGGGAGAGGGAUGCGGAAUUCCAGGUGUAGCGGUGAAAUGCGUAGAUAUCUGGAGGAACACCGGUGGCGAAGGCGGCAUCCUGGACCAACACUGACACUGAUGAGCGAAAGCCAGGGGAGCAAACGGG